RNAcentral lists this ribosomal RNA (214 nucleotides) under uncultured bacterium. RNAcentral's name for it is "partial 16S ribosomal RNA". It matches the Rfam family "Bacterial small subunit ribosomal RNA", at positions 524 to 734 of the family's 1533-position model. The record is from RNAcentral.
UACGAAGGGGGCUAGCGUUGCUCGGAAUCACUGGGCGUAAAGGGUGCGUAGGCGGAUCUUUUAAGUCAGGGGUGAAAUCCUGGAGCUCAACUCCAGAACUGCCUUUGAUACUGAGGAUCUCGAGUUCGGGAGAGGUGAGUGGAACUGGCGAGUGUAGAGGUGAAAUUCGUAGAUAUUCGCAAAGAACACCAGUGGCGAAGGCGACUACCUGGCC